GGGGACCUGGACUCACGCUGAUCCGAGGUCACAUUUCAGAAGUUGGGUGUUUAACGGCUGUGGACGCGCCGCGCUCCCGAUGCGAGUGUGCAAACUACUGCGCAGGAGAGGCUGCGGCGAGACCGCCACUGUAUUUCGGAGACGGCCACCGCCAAGGCAGGGCCGAUCCCCAACGCCGACCCCCCGGAGGGGUUCGAGGGUUGAAAUGACGCUCGGACAGGCAUGCCCGCCAGAAUACUGGCGGGCGCAAUGUGCGUUCAAAGAUUCGAUGAUUCACUGAAUUCUGCAAUUCACAUUACUUAUCGCAUUUCGCUGCGUUCUUCAUCGAUGCCAGAACCAAGAGAUCCGUUGUUGAAAGUUUUGAUUCAUUUUCGAAACGCCUACGAGAGGCGCCGAGAAGGCUCAGAUUAUAAAAAAACCCGCGAGGGGGUAUACAAUAAGAGUUUUGGUUGGUCCUCCGGCGGGCGCCUUGGUCCGGGGCUGCGACGCACCCGGGGCAGAGAUCCCGCCGAGGCAACAGUUUGGUAACGUUCACAUUGGGUUUGGGAGUUGUAAACUCGGUAAUGAUCCCUCCGCUGGUUCACCAACGGAGACCUUGUUCAUUUUUUAACCUUCCAAAAAAUAGUUUAAUCGACAUC
Molecule: unclassified non-coding RNA, 638 nt
Filed under: Trichoderma harzianum
Lineage: Eukaryota; Fungi; Ascomycota; Sordariomycetes; Hypocreales; Hypocreaceae
Description: sequence contains 18S rRNA gene, ITS1, 5.8S rRNA gene, ITS2, 28S rRNA gene
Source: RNAcentral